This 477-nucleotide ribosomal RNA is filed under the name uncultured bacterium. RNAcentral's name for it is "SSU rRNA". It matches the Rfam family "Bacterial small subunit ribosomal RNA", at positions 26 to 507 of the family's 1533-position model. The record is from RNAcentral.
AGAUUGAACGCUGGCGGCAUGCUUUACACAUGCAAGUCGAGCGGCAGCGCGGGACUCAGGCAACUGAGCCCUGGCGGCGAGCGGCGAACGGGUGAGUAAUGCAUCGGAACGUGUCCCGUAAUGGGGGAUAACGCCGCGAAAGCGGCGCUAAUACCGCAUACGCUCUACGGAGGAAAGCAGGGGAUCGCAAGACCUUGCGUUAAGGGAGCGGCCGAUGUCCGAUUAGCUAGUUGGUGAGGUAACGGCUCACCAAGGCGACGAUCGGUAGCUGGUCUGAGAGGAUGAUCAGCCACACUGGGACUGAGACACGGCCCAGACUCCUACGGGAGGCAGCAGUGGGGAAUUUUGGACAAUGGGCGGAAGCCUGAUGCAGCGACGCCGCGUGAGGGAUGACGGCCUUCGGGUUGUAAACCUCUUUCAGCAGGGACGAAGCGUGAGUGACGGUACCUGCAGAAGAAGCGCCGGCCAACGUACGUG